This 571-nucleotide ribosomal RNA is filed under the name Salmonella enterica. RNAcentral describes it as "partial 23S ribosomal RNA". It matches the Rfam family "Bacterial large subunit ribosomal RNA", at positions 653 to 1221 of the family's 2925-position model. The record is from RNAcentral. Lineage: Bacteria; Pseudomonadati; Pseudomonadota; Gammaproteobacteria; Enterobacterales; Enterobacteriaceae. RNAcentral also lists the same sequence under 1 other name.
CCGAAUAGGGGAGCCGGAGGGAAACCGAGUCUUAAUUGGGCGUUAAGUUGCAGGGUAUAGACCCGAAACCCGGUGAUCUAGCCAUGGGCAGGUUGAAGGUUGGGUAACACUAACUGGAGGACCGAACCGACUAAUGUUGAAAAAUUAGCGGAUGACCUGUGGCUGGGGGUGAAAGGCCAAUCAAACCGGGAGAUAGCUGGUUCUCCCCGAAAGCUAUUUAGGUAGCGCCUCGUGAAUUCAUCUCCGGGGGUAGAGCACUGUUUCGGCUAGGGGGCCAUCCCGGCUUACCAACCCGAUGCAAACUGCGAAUACCGGAGAAUGUUAUCACGGGAGACACACGGCGGGUGCUAACGUCCGUCGUGAAGAGGGAAACAACCCAGACCGCCAGCUAAGGUCCCAAAGUCAUGGUUAAGUGGGAAACGAUGUGGGAAGGCCCAGACAGCCAGGAUGUUGGCUUAGAAGCAGCCAUCAUUUAAAGAAAGCGUAAUAGCUCACUGGUCGAGUCGGCCUGCGCGGAAGAUGUAACGGGGCUAAACCAUGCACCGAAGCUGCGGCAGCGACGCUUAUGCGU